This 72-nucleotide transfer RNA is filed under the name Microcaldota archaeon. RNAcentral describes it as "tRNA-Thr". It matches the Rfam family "tRNA". Rfam says of the family: Transfer RNA (tRNA) molecules are approximately 80 nucleotides in length. Their secondary structure includes four short double-helical elements and three loops (D, anti-codon, and T loops). Further hydrogen bonds mediate the characteristic L-shaped molecular structure. tRNAs have two regions of fundamental functional importance: the anti-codon, which is responsible for specific mRNA codon recognition, and the 3' end, to which the tRNAs corresponding amino acid is attached (by aminoacyl-tRNA synthetases). tRNAs cope with the degeneracy of the genetic code in two manners: having more than one tRNA (with a specific anti-codon) for a particular amino acid; and 'wobble' base-pairing, i.e. permitting non-standard base-pairing at the 3rd anti-codon position. RNAcentral also lists the same sequence under 1 other name. The record is from RNAcentral. Lineage: Archaea; Nanobdellati; Microcaldota.
GCCUCUGUAGCUCAGUGGUAGAGCGCGUGCAUGGUAAGCACGAGGUCGCGAGUCCAAUUCUCGCCGGAGGCU